AUGUACGCUGGCGGCGUGCCUAAUCCCUGCAAGUCGAGCGAACAGACGAGGAGCUUGCUCCUCUGACGUUAGCGGCGGACGGGUGAGUAACACGUGGAUAACCUACCUAUAAGACUGGGAUAACUUCGGGAAACCGGAGCUAAUACCGGAUAAUAUAUUGAACCGCAUGGUUCAAUAGUGAAAGACGGUUUUGCUGUCACUUAUAGAUGGAUCCGCGCCGCAUUAGCUAGUUGGUAAGGUAACGGCUUACCAAGGCAACGAUGCGUAGCCGACCUGAGAGGGUGAUCGGCCACACUGGAACUGAGACACGGUCCAGACUCCUACGGGAGGCAGCAGUAGGGAAUCUUCCGCAAUGGGCGAAAGCCUGACGGAGCAACGCCGCGUGAGUGAUGAAGGUCUUCGGAUCGUAAAACUCUGUUAUUAGGGAAGAACAAAUGUGUAAGUAACUAUGCACGUCUUGACGGUACCUAAUCAGAAAGCCACGGCUAACUACGUG
Molecule: ribosomal RNA, 496 nt
Filed under: uncultured bacterium
Lineage: Bacteria
Description: partial 16S ribosomal RNA
Rfam family: Bacterial small subunit ribosomal RNA
Source: RNAcentral